AGCAGCCGCGGUAAUUCCAGCUCCAAUAGCGUAUAUUAAAGUUGUUGCAGUUAAAAAGCUCGUAGUUGAACUUCGGGGUUUACCCAUUGGUCAGGCUUAAUUGUCUGCACUGGGGAGAUGAAUCUCUACCUUCUGAGGAACUUUCAUGCCAUUUAUUUGGUGUGAUUGGAAAUCAGGACUGUUACUUUGAAAAAAUUAGAGUGUUUAAAGCAGGCUAACGUCUGAAUACAUUAGCAUGGAAUAAUGAAAUAGGACGGACUGAUUCUAUUUCGUUGGUUUCUAGGAUCACCGUAAUGAUUAAUAGGGAUAGUUGGGGGCAUUAGUAUUCAAUUGUCAGAGGUGAAAUUCUUGGAUUUAUUGAAGACUAACUACUGCGAAAGCAUUUGCCAAGGAUGUUUUCAUUAAUCAAGAACGAAAGUUAGGGGAUCGAAGACGAUCAGAUACCGUCGUAGUCUUAACCAUAAACUAUGCCGACUAGGGAUCGGACGAAGUUAAUUUUAUAAUGACGCGUUUGGCGCCU
RNAcentral lists this ribosomal RNA (520 nucleotides) under uncultured Diversispora. RNAcentral's name for it is "SSU rRNA". It matches the Rfam family "Eukaryotic small subunit ribosomal RNA", at positions 569 to 1088 of the family's 1831-position model. The record is from RNAcentral. Lineage: Eukaryota; Fungi; Glomeromycota; Glomeromycetes; Diversisporales; Diversisporaceae.